GAUGAACGCUGGCGGCGUGCCUAAUACAUGCAAGUCGAGCGAACAGAUGAGGAGCUUGCUCCUCUGACGUUAGCGGCGGACGGGUGAGUAACACGUGGAUAACCUACCUAUAAGACUGGGAUAACUUCGGGAAACCGGAGCUAAUACCGGAUAAUAUAUUGAACCGCAUGGUUCAAUAGUGAAAGACGGUUUUGCUGUCACUUAUAGAUGGAUCCGCGCCGCAUUAGCUAGUUGGUAAGGUAACGGCUUACCAAGGCAACGAUGCGUAGCCGACCUGAGAGGGUGAUCGGCCACACUGGAACUGAGACACGGUCCAGGCUCCGACGGGAGGCAGCAGUAGGGAAUCUUCCGCAAUGGGCGAAAGCCUGACGGAGCAACGCCGCGGGGGUGAUGAAGGUCUUCGGAUCGUAAAACGCUGUUAUUAGGGAAGAACAAAUGUGUAAGUAACUAUGCACGUCUUGACGGUACCGAAUCAGAAAGCCACGGCUAACUACGU
Molecule: ribosomal RNA, 496 nt
Filed under: uncultured bacterium
Lineage: Bacteria
Description: partial 16S ribosomal RNA
Rfam family: Bacterial small subunit ribosomal RNA
Source: RNAcentral